This 227-nucleotide long non-coding RNA is filed under the name Chrysolophus pictus (golden pheasant). RNAcentral's name for it is "lncRNA (ENSCPIG00010000539.1)". Lineage: Eukaryota; Metazoa; Chordata; Aves; Galliformes; Phasianidae. The record is from RNAcentral.
CUGGCAAGAGUGUUUUCCAAGAUAAUAACUGCCAAUUAAACAAAACAAGCAAAAGCAUGGCACAGUGCUGUAUAAAAGAUAUCUGUAAGCAAGCUGCCCCAUGUACCAGAUGCAGUUCAGCAUGCUGCCACAUGCUCUGCCUCCCUCCUGAGAAAAGAGACACAGCAGCCCAGGAGGACUGCAUGCACACAAGGCCACCACGCACCCAGCCUACAGGAUUUCAGUGA